This 2903-nucleotide ribosomal RNA is filed under the name Escherichia coli. RNAcentral's name for it is "23S ribosomal RNA". It matches the Rfam family "Bacterial large subunit ribosomal RNA". The record is from RNAcentral. Lineage: Bacteria; Pseudomonadati; Pseudomonadota; Gammaproteobacteria; Enterobacterales; Enterobacteriaceae.
GGUUAAGCGACUAAGCGUACACGGUGGAUGCCCUGGCAGUCAGAGGCGAUGAAGGACGUGCUAAUCUGCGAUAAGCGUCGGUAAGGUGAUAUGAACCGUUAUAACCGGCGAUUUCCGAAUGGGGAAACCCAGUGUGAUUCGUCACACUAUCAUUAACUGAAUCCAUAGGUUAAUGAGGCGAACCGGGGGAACUGAAACAUCUAAGUACCCCGAGGAAAAGAAAUCAACCGAGAUUCCCCCAGUAGCGGCGAGCGAACGGGGAGCAGCCCAGAGCCUGAAUCAGUGUGUGUGUUAGUGGAAGCGUCUGGAAAGGCGCGCGAUACAGGGUGACAGCCCCGUACACAAAAAUGCACAUGCUGUGAGCUCGAUGAGUAGGGCGGGACACGUGGUAUCCUGUCUGAAUAUGGGGGGACCAUCCUCCAAGGCUAAAUACUCCUGACUGACCGAUAGUGAACCAGUACCGUGAGGGAAAGGCGAAAAGAACCCCGGCGAGGGGAGUGAAAAAGAACCUGAAACCGUGUACGUACAAGCAGUGGGAGCACGCUUAGGCGUGUGACUGCGUACCUUUUGUAUAAUGGGUCAGCGACUUAUAUUCUGUAGCAAGGUUAACCGAAUAGGGGAGCCGAAGGGAAACCGAGUCUUAACUGGGCGUUAAGUUGCAGGGUAUAGACCCGAAACCCGGUGAUCUAGCCAUGGGCAGGUUGAAGGUUGGGUAACACUAACUGGAGGACCGAACCGACUAAUGUUGAAAAAUUAGCGGAUGACUUGUGGCUGGGGGUGAAAGGCCAAUCAAACCGGGAGAUAGCUGGUUCUCCCCGAAAGCUAUUUAGGUAGCGCCUCGUGAAUUCAUCUCCGGGGGUAGAGCACUGUUUCGGCAAGGGGGUCAUCCCGACUUACCAACCCGAUGCAAACUGCGAAUACCGGAGAAUGUUAUCACGGGAGACACACGGCGGGUGCUAACGUCCGUCGUGAAGAGGGAAACAACCCAGACCGCCAGCUAAGGUCCCAAAGUCAUGGUUAAGUGGGAAACGAUGUGGGAAGGCCCAGACAGCCAGGAUGUUGGCUUAGAAGCAGCCAUCAUUUAAAGAAAGCGUAAUAGCUCACUGGUCGAGUCGGCCUGCGCGGAAGAUGUAACGGGGCUAAACCAUGCACCGAAGCUGCGGCAGCGACACUAUGUGUUGUUGGGUAGGGGAGCGUUCUGUAAGCCUGUGAAGGUGUACUGUGAGGUAUGCUGGAGGUAUCAGAAGUGCGAAUGCUGACAUAAGUAACGAUAAAGCGGGUGAAAAGCCCGCUCGCCGGAAGACCAAGGGUUCCUGUCCAACGUUAAUCGGGGCAGGGUGAGUCGACCCCUAAGGCGAGGCCGAAAGGCGUAGUCGAUGGGAAACAGGUUAAUAUUCCUGUACUUGGUGUUACUGCGAAGGGGGGACGGAGAAGGCUAUGUUGGCCGGGCGACGGUUGUCCCGGUUUAAGCGUGUAGGCUGGUUUUCCAGGCAAAUCCGGAAAAUCAAGGCUGAGGCGUGAUGACGAGGCACUACGGUGCUGAAGCAACAAAUGCCCUGCUUCCAGGAAAAGCCUCUAAGCAUCAGGUAACAUCAAAUCGUACCCCAAACCGACACAGGUGGUCAGGUAGAGAAUACCAAGGCGCUUGAGAGAACUCGGGUGAAGGAACUAGGCAAAAUGGUGCCGUAACUUCGGGAGAAGGCACGCUGAUAUGUAGGUGAAGUCCCUCGCGGAUGGAGCUGAAAUCAGUCGAAGAUACCAGCUGGCUGCAACUGUUUAUUAAAAACACAGCACUGUGCAAACACGAAAGUGGACGUAUACGGUGUGACGCCUGCCCGGUGCCGGAAGGUUAAUUGAUGGGGUCAGCGCAAGCGAAGCUCUUGAUCGAAGCCCCGGUAAACGGCGGCCGUAACUAUAACGGUCCUAAGGUAGCGAAAUUCCUUGUCGGGUAAGUUCCGACCUGCACGAAUGGCGUAAUGAUGGCCAGGCUGUCUCCACCCGAGACUCAGUGAAAUUGAACUCGCUGUGAAGAUGCAGUGUACCCGCGGCAAGACGGAAAGACCCCGUGAACCUUUACUAUAGCUUGACACUGAACAUUGAGCCUUGAUGUGUAGGAUAGGUGGGAGGCUUUGAAGUGUGGACGCCAGUCUGCAUGGAGCCGACCUUGAAAUACCACCCUUUAAUGUUUGAUGUUCUAACGUUGACCCGUAAUCCGGGUUGCGGACAGUGUCUGGUGGGUAGUUUGACUGGGGCGGUCUCCUCCUAAAGAGUAACGGAGGAGCACGAAGGUUGGCUAAUCCUGGUCGGACAUCAGGAGGUUAGUGCAAUGGCAUAAGCCAGCUUGACUGCGAGCGUGACGGCGCGAGCAGGUGCGAAAGCAGGUCAUAGUGAUCCGGUGGUUCUGAAUGGAAGGGCCAUCGCUCAACGGAUAAAAGGUACUCCGGGGAUAACAGGCUGAUACCGCCCAAGAGUUCAUAUCGACGGCGGUGUUUGGCACCUCGAUGUCGGCUCAUCACAUCCUGGGGCUGAAGUAGGUCCCAAGGGUAUGGCUGUUCGCCAUUUAAAGUGGUACGCGAGCUGGGUUUAGAACGUCGUGAGACAGUUCGGUCCCUAUCUGCCGUGGGCGCUGGAGAACUGAGGGGGGCUGCUCCUAGUACGAGAGGACCGGAGUGGACGCAUCACUGGUGUUCGGGUUGUCAUGCCAAUGGCACUGCCCGGUAGCUAAAUGCGGAAGAGAUAAGUGCUGAAAGCAUCUAAGCACGAAACUUGCCCCGAGAUGAGUUCUCCCUGACUCCUUGAGAGUCCUGAAGGAACGUUGAAGACGACGACGUUGAUAGGCCGGGUGUGUAAGCGCAGCGAUGCGUUGAGCUAACCGGUACUAAUGAACCGUGAGGCUUAACCUU